This 467-nucleotide ribosomal RNA is filed under the name uncultured bacterium. RNAcentral describes it as "partial 16S ribosomal RNA". It matches the Rfam family "Bacterial small subunit ribosomal RNA", at positions 28 to 507 of the family's 1533-position model. The record is from RNAcentral.
GACGAACGCUGGCGGCGUGCUUAACACAUGCAAGUCGAACGGAAAGGCUCCAGCUUGCUGGAGUACUCGAGUGGCGAACGGGUGAGUAACACGUGGGUAAUCUGCCCUGCACUCUGGGAUAAGCCUGGGAAACUGGGUCUAAUACUGGAUAUGACCUUUCUCCUUAUGGGGUUUGGUGGAAAGUUUUUCGGUGUAGGAUGAGCCCGCGGCCUAUCAGCUUGUUGGUGGGGUGAUGGCCUACCAAGGCGACGACGGGUAGCCGGCCUGAGAGGGUGAUCGGCCACAUUGGGACUGAGAUACGGCCCAGACUCCUACGGGAGGCAGCAGUGGGGAAUAUUGCACAAUGGGCGGAAGCCUGAUGCAGCGACGCCGCGUGAGGGAUGACGGCCUUUGGGUUGUAAACCUCUUUCAGCAGGGACGAAGCGUAAGUGACGGUACCUGCAGAAGAAGCACCGGCUAACUAUGUG